GGGGGUAGAGCUCAGCGGUGGAGCAUGUGAUUCGUGUGCCCGAGGCCCUGGGUUCAAUCCCCAGUGCUUCCA
This 72-nucleotide transfer RNA is filed under the name Camelus bactrianus (Bactrian camel). It matches the Rfam family "tRNA". From Rfam's summary of the family: Transfer RNA (tRNA) molecules are approximately 80 nucleotides in length. Their secondary structure includes four short double-helical elements and three loops (D, anti-codon, and T loops). Lineage: Eukaryota; Metazoa; Chordata; Mammalia; Artiodactyla; Camelidae. The record is from Rfam by way of RNAcentral. RNAcentral also lists the same sequence under 2 other names.